Molecule: transfer RNA, 69 nt
Filed under: Rhodobacteraceae bacterium HIMB11
Lineage: Bacteria; Pseudomonadati; Pseudomonadota; Alphaproteobacteria; Rhodobacterales; Paracoccaceae
Rfam family: tRNA
About the family: Transfer RNA (tRNA) molecules are approximately 80 nucleotides in length. Their secondary structure includes four short double-helical elements and three loops (D, anti-codon, and T loops).
Source: Rfam by way of RNAcentral
GCACCCAUAGCUCAGCUGGAUAGAGCGCUGCCCUCCUAAGGCAAUAGUCUAUUCGUACAAGUGGCUGUA